Molecule: long non-coding RNA, 1301 nt
Filed under: Volvox carteri
Lineage: Eukaryota; Viridiplantae; Chlorophyta; Chlorophyceae; Chlamydomonadales; Volvocaceae
Description: long non-coding RNA (VCAR_LNC002923)
Source: RNAcentral
CAGGCGGUACACAUGCUCGACAAGCUGCACAGCUCUGCUUUUUUUAGAUCUUUGACGUACAAAUCAUUAAAUUACAACAGUUGCAUAGUCAAAUCCACAUUUCUGAGUCGGAUAUUCUCGUCACCGCUUCCCGAAUCCCUUUUUCGGUCGCCUCGACACGGUCAUAUGGUCAUUAGCUUUGGUUUGACUCCUGCGAUAUUCCAAGCUGUUAUGGAUCGUCAAUCUCAAUCUUUCAUUCAUAAAUUACUUAUUAUUAUUUGGGUGACAUUCUGGUCUUUUCUAAGACGCGUGCGGAGCAUCUGCAGCAUUUGGAUUGUACUUGUCCGCCAGGUACUGCGGCGCCCACCGAUAACCUGCAGAGCUGCGUAAGUCUUUAUAGUUGACGAAUUGCUUCCGUAAGCUUACUGAGCGGUAUUCUGUGAUCACUUCGCCCUUGACAAUCUGAUGACACGUAAGAGGGAGCGUUUUUUUGGACACCCGCUGGGUUGUGUCAGCAUGCAGGUGUUCGAUGCUUCACUGUUAAAGCGUGCUGUCACCGAUCGAUGACAUUAUCCUGAGUUUACCUGAAUUCUCGUUUUGAAAUUCUGUUCCGUGUUGAGGUAGUAUCUGACACCUCUUGCUGUGGGUAAUGCUGUCCUGUUGCCAUCCUGUGGCGUUUUGGGUGGGGGUGAUAACCUACAGCAGAAUCUGCUUGCUGUUUUAAUAUGCACUGAAGGAGCAGCGCUGCUACCUGGAAGGCAGGCCCUUCAUUUUCGUAAGCCCCUUAUGUUCCUGCAAGGGGUGCCUACCCUGAACCGCCGCAGACAGGUUAGGUGGAUGGAAUACCAUGGGACUGGGAGACAUGGUAGUACACGUCUGGCUCCCUUAAAUUUGCUGAUGCUCUCUAUAGGCACCUUUCUCUGCACGCGGCCAUUUUUCUGUCAUGACAUGCUGCACCGCUGUCUGUUGAACUGCUGUUAGUUGUGCUUUCCAACUUGGCCUCGUGUAUUGAACCUGCCACCACCACUGACCCUACAUUUACUGAAGAACACAAUACAGGCCACGUGGUCUGUAGCUUCGAAGGGAGGGCUCUUGUCAGCAAGAGAUUGUGCCUGAUAAUGAUGCCGUGAUCUCCCUUCCUGUUUCCAUGAUGGACCGUUGGCGGAGCACCCUGGCUGCACGCAGAUGGUGGCCUCAGAUGGCUAAGGAUGCGAAGAACUACGUUCUGUCCUGUGAGCAGUUCCAGCACAACAAAGCUGCAUCAGGUUCCCCUGCAGGGACUCCUGCAACUCUUGCCUAUUCCUGCGGCCCCUUAGGAAAGU